GAUGAACGCUGGCGGCGUGCCUAAUACAUGCAAGUCGAGCGAACAGACGAGGAGCUUGCUCCUCUGACGUUAGCGGCGGACGGGUGAGUAACACGUGGAUAACCUACCUAUAAGACUGGGAUAACUUCGGGAAACCGGAGCUAAUACCGGAUAAUAUAUUGAACCGCAUGGUUCAAUAGUGAAAGACGGUUUUGCUGUCACUUAUAGAUGGAUCCGCGCCGCAUUAGCUAGUUGGUAAGGUAACGGCUUACCAAGGCAACGAUGCGUAGCCGACCUGAGAGGGUGAUCGGCCACCCUGGAACUGAGACAAGGUCCAGACUCCUACGGGAGGCAGCAGUAGGGAAUCUUCCGCAAUGGGCGAAAGCCUGACGGAGCAACGCCGCGUGAGUGAUGAAGGUCUUCGGAUCGUAAAACUCUGUUAUUAGGGAAGAACAAAUGUGUAAGUAACUAUGCACGUCUUGACGGUACCUAAUCAGAAAGCCACGGCUAACUACGUG
This 497-nucleotide ribosomal RNA is filed under the name uncultured bacterium. RNAcentral's name for it is "partial 16S ribosomal RNA". It matches the Rfam family "Bacterial small subunit ribosomal RNA", at positions 28 to 507 of the family's 1533-position model. The record is from RNAcentral.